Long non-coding RNA from Neofelis nebulosa (Clouded leopard), 3052 nucleotides. RefSeq lists it as uncharacterized. The record is from RefSeq and is a predicted model, not a curated record. The transcript has 2 exons. NCBI's taxonomy places the organism in Eukaryota, Metazoa, Chordata, Mammalia, Carnivora, Felidae.
UGGUAUUAUGGAUAUAUAGUGAGGGUGGAUCAUCUUAUCUCAUCCCUACUUUAUAACUUGGUUGUCUGCAGUCUCACACCAAAAUUUCAGAGAGGCUUGAACUUACAGGCAACAAAGAAAUAUCGCUUUAAGGUAGCAGAGAGAAGGAAUCUUACCUAUAAAAAAAGCUCUCAAAAUUUCAAGGACUCUGCUCUGGCAGUGUGGAGCCUGCUUGGGAUUCUCCCCCCACCCCUUUGCCCAUCUCCCACUUGUGUGCUCUGUCUCUCUGGAUAAAUAAAUAGAUACAUAAAUAAAUAAAUAAAUAAAUAAAUAAAUAAACUUUUUUUAAAAAAAAUGUAAGAUACAGCUAUAGCAGUGCUGAUAAGCAAAUUUAUAGAACUAAAAUGCAUUAGAAAAGAUAAAACUUCUUGAGCUGAUUAAAAAAAUAAAUUCUUACAUAAAGAAACUAUAAUUAGAAGAGGAAGUAAGUCCAAAGAAAACAAAAUAAUGGGAAACAUACAGAUAAAAGCAGAAAUAAAUGAAACUGAAAAAAGAAAAAUAACAGAGAAAACAAAUGAAACAAAACUUGGUCACUUAAAAAAGUCAAUAAAAUAUAAAAUAAAAGUGAAAAACCGGCAAUAGUGACAAAAAUAAAAAUAGUAGAAAAGGUAAAAACCACCAGUAUCAGAAUUGAAAUGGAUUUUCAUUGCAAAUCCUGUAUUCAUGGAUGAUGAUAUCAUCAAGAUUGUAACAAAGGUCAUUUCACUUUAGUCUUUCUCACAAAAAGACCAACAAAAUGUAUCCAUAGACAAAAUGCCACUGGAAAACCCUAGAACCUAUAGGUGAGGCACAAGCACCACACUGGAUCAGAGAGAUGGAGAAUAACAGUAGUAAAAGGGUAAAAGGGAGGGCACCUGGCUAGGUCAGUCAGUUUAGCAUGUGACUCUUGAUAUCCAGGUUGUGAUUGGAGCCCCACAUUGGCCUAGAGACUACUUAAAAAAAAAAAAAGAAAGAAAGAAAAAGAAAAAGAAAAAGGAAAAAGAAAAGGAAAGGUAGAGUAGCAGUUUCAUUUUGCCCAGAUCACCACUCACCAGGUAAACCAUCAGGUUAUUCUCAAUAGGUAAGUGUCUGUUUCUCUCUUUCUCUUUUUUUCGCUGCUCAUUUGUUUUGUUUCUUAAAUUUCACAUGUGAGUAAAGUCAUAUGGUAUUUUUAUUUCUCUGACUGACAUAUUUCAAUUAACAAUAUACUCUCUCAUUCUAUCCAUGUUGUUGCAAAUGUCAAGAUUUUAUUCUUUUUUAUGACUGAAUAAUAUUCCUUUGUAUAUAUACAACACAUCUUCUUUGUCUAUUCAUCUAGCCAGGGACACGUGACCUGCUUUCAUUGUUUGGCAAUUAUAAAUAAUGCUGCUAUAAACAGAGAGGUUCGUGUAUCCUGUUGAAUUACUGUCUUUUUAUUUUUUUGGGUAAAUAACUAGUAUGAUUAGUGGAUCAUAGGGUAGUUUUAUUUUUAAUUUUUUGAGGAACUUCCAUACUGUUUUGCAUAAUGUCUGCACCAGUUUGUAUUCCCACCAAGAGUGAAUGAGGGCUCAUUUUUCUCCACAUCCUUGUCAACACUUGUUUCUUGUGUUAUUGAUUUUAGCCAUUCUUAUAGGUGCAAGGUGAUAUCUCAUUGUAGUUUUGAUUUGCAUUUCCCUACUGAUGAGUGAUGUGGAACAUCUUUUCAUGCGAAUGUUGGCCAUCUAGAUGUUUUCCUUGGAGGAAUGUCUGCGCCCCUCUUCUGCUAAUUUUUAAUUUUGAUUAUUUGUUUUUGGGAUGUUGAUUUGCAUAAGUUCUUUAUAUAUUUUGGAUACUAACCUUUUAUCAGAUAUAUCAUUUGCAAAUAACUUCUCUCAUUUCAAGGGUGGAAACUUAAAUUUUUAAUUGUUUCUUUUUGUAUGAAUAAACUUUUUAUUUUGAUAUAGGCUCAAUAGACUAUUGCUGUUUUUGUUUCCAUUGCCUCAGGACAUACAGAAAUAAUUUGCUAUGGCUGAUUUCAAAGACAUCUAAACCUACCCUAAACCUACUUUGUUGAGGGUUUUUAUCAUAAAUGAUGUUAUACUUUCUCAAAUACCUUUUCUGUAUAUGCUGUCCUCCAGGAUUUUUAUGUUUUCAGUUUUUACAUUUGGGUCUUUAAUAUAUUUUAUGUUUUGGGUAUAGUGUAAUAAAUUGGUCCAGUUUCUUUCUUUUGCGUGUAGCUGAGAAGUUUUUCCAACACCAUUUGUUUAAGAGUCUGUGUUAUUUCUCAUUGGAUAUUCUUUCCUGCUUUGACAAAGAUUAUAUGACCAUAUAAUUGUGGGUUUAUGUCUGGGUUUUCUGUUCUGUUACCUUGAUCUACAUGUCUAUUUUUGUGUCAGUACCACACUGUUUUGAUUACUACAUCUUUGUAAUAUAACUUGAAGUCUGGAAUUGUGAUACCGACAGCUUUGCUUUUAUUUUUCAAAACUGUUUGACUCUUGAGGGUCUUUUGUGAUUCCAGACAAAUUUUAAGAUUGCUUGUUCUAACUCUGUGAAACAUACUGAUAUUUUGAUAGGGAUUGCAUUAAAAUGCAUAGAUUGCUUGGGGAAGUCUAGACAUUUUAACAGUACUUAUUCUUUUAAUCCAUGAGCAUGGAAUGUCAUUCCAUUUCUAUGUACUCUUCAAUUUAUUUCAUCAGUGUUUUAUAGUUUUCAGAGUACAAAUCUUUUACCUCUUUGAUGAAGUUUAUUUCUAGAUAUCUUAUUAUUUUUGGUGUAGUUUUAAUGGUACUUUUUUUCAAUUUUUCUUUUUGCUGUUUCAUUAUUAGUGUAUAGAAAUGCAACAAAUUUUUGCAUGUUGAUUUAGUAUCCUUCAAAUGAACUGAAUUCAUUCAUCAGUUCCAGUAGUUUUUUGGUGGAAUCUUUAAGUUUUUCUAUAUAGAGCAUCAUGUCACCUGAAAAUAAGGAGUUUUACUUCUUUUGUUUUUACCAAUUUGUAUGCAUUUUAUUGUUUUGUUGUUAUCUAAUUGCUGUGGCUAAAACUCCCAGUAGUCUUUUAAAUAAAAGUGGUGAGAAUGGA